AAUCCAUAGGUUAAUGAGGCGAACCGGGGGAACUGAAACAUCUAAGUACCCCGAGGAAAAGAAAUCAACCGAGAUUCCCCCAGUAGCGGCGAGCGAACGGGGAGGAGCCCAGAGCCUGAAUCAGCAUGUGUGUUAGUGGAAGCGUCUGGAAAGGCGCGCGAUACAGGGUGACAGCCCCGUACACAAAAGCGCAUGUGCUGUGAGCUCGAUGAGUAGGGCGGGACACGUGGUAUCCUGUCUGAAUAUGGGGGGACCAUCCUCCAAGGCUAAAUACUCCUGACUGACCGAUAGUGAACCAGUACCGUGAGGGAAAGGCGAAAAGAACCCCGGCGAGGGGAGUGAAAAAGAACCUGAAACCGUGUACGUACAAGCAGUGGGAGCACCCUUUGGGUGUGACUGCGUACCUUUUGUAUAAUGGGUCAGCGACUUAUAUUCUGUAGCAAGGUUAACCGAAUAGGGGAGCCGGAGGGAAACCGAGUCUUAACCGGGCGUUAAGUUGCAGGGUAUAGACCCGAAACCCGGUGAUCUAGCCAUGGGCAGGUUGAAGGUUGGGUAACACUAACUGGAGGACCGAACCGACUAAUGUUGAAAAAUUAGCGGAUGACCUGUGGCUGGGGGUGAAAGGCCAAUCAAACCGGGAGAUAGCUGGUUCUCCCCGAAAGCUAUUUAGGUAGCGCCUCGUGAAUUCAUCUCCGGGGGUAGAGCACUGUUUCGGCUAGGGGGCCAUCCCGGCUUACCAACCCGAUGCAAACUGCGAAUACCGGAGAAUGUUAUCACGGGAGACACACGGCGGGUGCUAACGUCCGUCGUGAAGAGGGAAACAACCCAGACCGCCAGCUAAGGUCCCAAAGUCAUGGUUAAGUGGGAAACGAUGUGGGAAGGCCCAGACAGCCAGGAUGUUGGCUUAGAAGCAGCCAUCAUUUAAAGAAAGCGUAAUAGCUCACUGGUCGAGUCGGCCUGCGCGGAAGAUGUAACGGGGCUAAACCAUGCACCGAAGCUGCGGCAGCGACACUGUGUGUUGUUGGGUAGGGGAGCGUUCUGUAAGCCUGUGAAGGUGUGUCGUGAGGCAUGCUGGAGGUAUCAGAAGUGCGAAUGCUGACAUAAGUAACGAUAAAGCGGGUGAAAAGCCCGCUCGCCGGAAGACCAAGGGUUCCUGUCCAACGUUAAUCGGGGCAGGGUGAGUCGACCCCUAAGGCGAGGCCGAAAGGCGUAGUCGAUGGGAAACGGGUUAAUAUUCCCGUACUUGGUGUUACUGCGAAGGGGGGACGGAGAAGGCUAUGUUGGCCGGGCGACGGUUGUCCCGGUUUAAGCGUGUAGGUGUGUGUUCCAGGUAAAUCCGGUUCACUUUAACACUGAGGCGUGACGACGAGGCACUACGGUGCUGAAGCAACAAAUGCCCUGCUUCCAGGAAAAGCCUCUAAGCAUCAGGUAACAUCAAAUCGUACCCCAAACCGACACAGGUGGUCAGGUAGAGAAUACCAAGGCGCUUGAGAGAACUCGGGUGAAGGAACUAGGCAAAAUGGUGCCGUAACUUCGGGAGAAGGCACGCUGACACGUAGGUGAAGUGAUUUACUCAUGGAGCUGAAGUCAGUCGAAGAUACCAGCUGGCUGCAACUGUUUAUUAAAAACACAGCACUGUGCAAACACGAAAGUGGACGUAUACGGUGUGACGCCUGCCCGGUGCCGGAAGGUUAAUUGAUGGGGUCAGCGCAAGCGAAGCUCCUGAUCGAAGCCCCGGUAAACGGCGGCCGUAACUAUAACGGUCCUAAGGUAGCGAAAUUCCUUGUCGGGUAAGUUCCGACCUGCACGAAUGGCGUAAUGAUGGCCAGGCUGUCUCCACCCGAGACUCAGUGAAAUUGAACUCGCUGUGAAGAUGCAGUGUACCCGCGGCAAGACGGAAAGACCCCGUGAACCUUUACUAUAGCUUGACACUGAACAUUGAGCCUUGAUGUGUAGGAUAGGUGGGAGGCUUUGAAGUGUGGACGCCAGUCUGCAUGGAGCCGACCUUGAAAUACCACCCUUUAAUGUUUGAUGUUCUAACGUGGACCCGUUACCCGGGUUGCGGACAGUGUCUGGUGGGUAGUUUGACUGGGGCGGUCUCCUCCUAAAGAGUAACGGAGGAGCACGAAGGUUGGCUAAUCCUGGUCGGACAUCAGGAGGUUAGUGCAAUGGCAUAAGCCAGCUUGACUGCGAGCGUGACGGCGCGAGCAGGUGCGAAAGCAGGUCAUAGUGAUCCGGUGGUUCUGAAUGGAAGGGCCAUCGCUCAACGGAUAAAAGGUACUCCGGGGAUAACAGGCUGAUACCGCCCAAGAGUUCAUAUCGACGGCGGUGUUUGGCACCUCGAUGUCGGCUCAUCACAUCCUGGGGCUGAAGUAGGUCCCAAGGGUAUGGCUGUUCGCCAUUUAAAGUGGUACGCGAGCUGGGUUUAGAACGUCGUGAGACAGUUCGGUCCCUAUCUGCCGUGGGCGCUGGAGAACUGAGGGGGGCUGCUCCUAGUACGAGAGGACCGGAGUGGACGCAUCACUGGUGUUCGGGUUGUCAUGCCAAUGGCACUGCCCGGUAGCUAAAUGCGGAAGAGAUAAGUGCUGAAAGCAUCUAAGCACGAAACUUGCCCCGAGAUGAGUUCUCCCUGAGACUUAGAGUCUCCUGAAGGAACGUUGAAGAC
This 2665-nucleotide ribosomal RNA is filed under the name Salmonella enterica subsp. enterica serovar Enteritidis. RNAcentral describes it as "partial 23S ribosomal RNA". It matches the Rfam family "Bacterial large subunit ribosomal RNA". Lineage: Bacteria; Pseudomonadati; Pseudomonadota; Gammaproteobacteria; Enterobacterales; Enterobacteriaceae. The record is from RNAcentral.